GUGGUGCAGAAUGACCUAGAGGUGGAGUAGUUGACUGCUAAGAGACUGGGUGUAGAGAAGAUGCUUCUGGCCGCACCUGAAUGAGGGCAAAGCCAGACGACAAGAUAACAAACAGCCCCAGUUUGUGCUGUGACUCAGCCCCCACCAGCUGGAUUGCAGCAACCCCAGCUCCUUGCCUGCCUCUGACUCAGAUGAAGGACAUCCUUGUCCCGUGGAACAUCUGGCUCCCAGGUCCUGAGCCUCGGCAGAGGGAUGGUGGUUCCUCUCAUUACCAGUUUUUCACCGUGGUCUCAGCAGUUCCUUUGCGGCAGGCAGCCUGCUUGCUGUUUCUAGAACUGAGCCAAACCCAGCCCCCUCCGACCCGGCCUCCUUACCUCUUUGCUUCCCCACUGGCUGCAUGAGGAGCCCACGCAGGGAAGGAAGAAUGCCCAAGUGACGAGCCAGGUCAUACCCCAUCACAGGCUGGCUAGAUUGCUGUAUAUGGUUUUAAGUCCCCUGCAGACCAAGGCCAAGAAACGAGGUCCAGCCUCCUCUGCCCUUCUCAGGUCACACGAGGGACAAGCCCACAGGGCAUCCAUCGCAGCCCCUCUUGCUUUGGCAGUGGCCACCUUUACCCCUCCCAGGCCCUGUCCCCAGAGC
Molecule: long non-coding RNA, 639 nt
Organism: Bos taurus (domestic cattle)
Lineage: Eukaryota; Metazoa; Chordata; Mammalia; Artiodactyla; Bovidae
Source: Ensembl